UACGGGGGGGGCAAGCGUUGUUCGGAAUUACUGGGCGUAAAGGGCGUGUAGGCGGCCCACUAAGUCCGACGUGAAAUCCCUAGGCUUAACCUAGGAACUGCGUCGGAUACUGGAUGGCUUGAAUCCGGGAGAGGGAUGCGGAAUUCCAGGUGUAGCGGUGAAAUGCGUAGAUAUCUGGAGGAACACCGGUGGCGAAGGCGGCAUCCUGGACCGGUAUUGACGCUGAAGCGCGGAAGCCAGGGGAGCAAACGGG
This 253-nucleotide ribosomal RNA is filed under the name uncultured bacterium. RNAcentral's name for it is "partial 16S ribosomal RNA". It matches the Rfam family "Bacterial small subunit ribosomal RNA", at positions 524 to 776 of the family's 1533-position model. The record is from RNAcentral.